Molecule: transfer RNA, 88 nt
Filed under: Propionibacteriaceae bacterium
Lineage: Bacteria; Bacillati; Actinomycetota; Actinomycetes; Propionibacteriales; Propionibacteriaceae
Description: tRNA-Ser
Rfam family: tRNA
About the family: Transfer RNA (tRNA) molecules are approximately 80 nucleotides in length. Their secondary structure includes four short double-helical elements and three loops (D, anti-codon, and T loops). Further hydrogen bonds mediate the characteristic L-shaped molecular structure. tRNAs have two regions of fundamental functional importance: the anti-codon, which is responsible for specific mRNA codon recognition, and the 3' end, to which the tRNAs corresponding amino acid is attached (by aminoacyl-tRNA synthetases). tRNAs cope with the degeneracy of the genetic code in two manners: having more than one tRNA (with a specific anti-codon) for a particular amino acid; and 'wobble' base-pairing, i.e. permitting non-standard base-pairing at the 3rd anti-codon position.
Source: RNAcentral
GGAGGCGUCGCCUAGUCGGUCUAUGGCGCCCGCCUGCUAAGCGGGUUGAGUGUGAAAACUCUCGCGGGUUCGAAUCCCGCCGCCUCCG